UGGGGGAUAUUGCACAAUGGGCGAAAGCCUGAUGCAGCGACGCCGCGUGGGGGAUGAAGGCCUUCGGGUUGUAAACUUCUUUUGCCCUGAACAAGGCGCCCCAUGGGGUGUGUUGGGUGUAGGGGUUGAUUAGCGCCGGCUAACUACUUGCCAGAAGCCGCGGUAAUACGUAGGGCGCGAGCGUUGUCCGGAAUUAUUGGGCGUAAAGGGCUUGUAGGUGGCUGGUUGCGUCUGUCGUGAAAGCUCAUGGCUUAACUGUGGGUUUGCGGUGGGUACGGGCUGGCUUGAGUGCAGUAGGGGAGGCUGGAAUUCCUGGUGUAGCGGUGGAAUGCGCAGAUAUCAGGAGGAAUACCGGUGGCGAAGGCGGGUCUCUGGGCUGUUACUGACACUGAGGAGCGAAAGCAUGGGGAGCGAACAGG
Molecule: ribosomal RNA, 419 nt
Filed under: bacterium
Lineage: Bacteria
Description: partial 16S ribosomal RNA
Rfam family: Bacterial small subunit ribosomal RNA
Source: RNAcentral